AAGUGAGGAGUGUGGUUGGAAAAGAUGCACAACCAACAGGAAUGACCACAGCCUUGACAAGAAUGUCAAGCAAAGCAGAUUCAAGAACUUGGGGGAGC
Thalassophryne amazonica is the source of this 98-nucleotide long non-coding RNA. RefSeq lists it as uncharacterized. The record is from RefSeq and is a predicted model, not a curated record. Lineage: Eukaryota; Metazoa; Chordata; Actinopteri; Batrachoidiformes; Batrachoididae. The transcript is spliced from 3 exons.